RNAcentral lists this ribosomal RNA (467 nucleotides) under uncultured bacterium. RNAcentral describes it as "partial 16S ribosomal RNA". It matches the Rfam family "Bacterial small subunit ribosomal RNA", at positions 28 to 506 of the family's 1533-position model. The record is from RNAcentral.
GACGAACGCUGGCGGCGUGCUUAACACAUGCAAGUCGAACGGAAAGGCCCUGCUUUUGUGGGGUGCUCGAGUGGCGAACGGGUGAGUAACACGUGAGUAACCUGCCCUUGACUUUGGGAUAACUUCAGGAAACUGGGGCUAAUACCGGAUAGGAGCUCCUGCUGCAUGGUGGGGGUUGGAAAGUUUCGGCGGUUGGGGAUGGACUCGCGGCUUAGCAGCUUGUUGGUGGGGUAGUGGCUUACCAAGGCUUUGACGGGUAGCCGGCCUGAGAGGGUGACCGGCCACAUUGGGACUGGGAUACGGCCCAGACUGCUACGGGAGGCAGCAGUGGGGAAUAUUGCACAAUGGGCCGAAGCCGGAUGCAGCAACGCCGCGUGCGGGAGGACGGCCUUCGGGUUGGAAACCGCUUUCGCCUGUGACGAAGCGUGAGUGACGGUAAUGGGUAAAGAAGCACCGGCUAACUACGU